RNAcentral lists this long non-coding RNA (4198 nucleotides) under Solanum tuberosum (potato). RNAcentral describes it as "long non-coding RNA (STUB_LNC006722)". The record is from RNAcentral. Lineage: Eukaryota; Viridiplantae; Streptophyta; Magnoliopsida; Solanales; Solanaceae.
AAAUGCCUCCUCAUUAUCAUGUUAGGAACACAUACUGCAAAGGUUGCCUCUCUUUACUAUUUGAUGUUCGAAGAAAGCCAAUCCCCAACUUCUCACACCCCAAUCACACUAAGAUGCAAUUUUAGAAUAACGCUAACUACAUAACCAAAACUCCGAUAUUCAUGUCCAAGUCUGAGGCGAAUAAAUUUCCCGCAAUCACAAAGAUUUAAGAGUAUUAAAGAAUUCAAAUAUUUCAGCAGAGGGUCCAAUUUGGGACGUAAUAUCACAAUGAUACAUAUAUAGCAAGAUAGCAUCAAUACCUUCGGUUGUCUUCGUAGAAAUGCGUCCAACAAAAAGUUUUCUAUCAUCAAGAAAAUGCAACAAUUAAAACGACAAACAAGAAAAUUAAGAACCAGUGAUUUGCUAUAAACUAAGCUACAAAACUUACCUUUCUGAACAACCAUUGAUUGAAGGUUUUAAUUCAUCGGCUUCCCUAUCGCCUACUUUGUCAGCCAUUUCCACAUCUUCAUUUGGUUGGUCAGUUUCUUCAUUUCGUUCCUCAUCAAAAUUCAUUGUUUUUUUAUCCUUUCCAGCUGAAAAAAGAUAACGAAUCGCAACAAAACCUUGACAGAUUUCAGCACGAGAUCGAAUACUGAGGAUUUUGUGAUUGGGUAAACCCUAGCUUUGUGCGCUAAAAUUUGAAAAUUGCCGCCGAAUGAGAUUUACCAGUAAAUCAAAUACUUCAACAGAAAGAGCAACAACUUGGCGGUUUCAAAAGAGACUACAUAUAUAGUCCGGGAAUAUAAUGCACCACCUUCCAUAUUGCAAUUUUUUUUUUUUAACGUUCAAAUUAUAACUCCUUCCAAUUGAAUUAUACAUCCGUCUCCAUCUAUGUAAUGUACACAUUAGCGUCAAUAAACUGUAAAAUCAAGUAACCAAAUCCAAACCAAUAAUCCAAACCAAAAAAUUAGUUAUUGAUUUAUCAUUAAUGAGUUACUGGUUUGACAAUUUCGAUAAUGAUUUUGAUUUUUUUUAUAACCGGGUUAUCUGAUAGCCUGAUAGUAAAUUAAUAAAUUAUAUUUAUACUUUUCGGUAUAUUAAGUCCUUAACUUAGCGUUUAGUUUCAUACUUUUAUGUUUGAUUAUCUCAAAUUUUCGGUUAUCAUUCAUUGUGCUAGUGUUUGCUUCUAAGCAAAAUGCAAUAUGUCAAUUCAUGUGUAUGAGUUAUUUGGUUUAUUACCUAGUUUCUAAGUGACUUUCAAAGAGUUUUUGGAUGUUAAAUCUUAAUGGUUAAACUGAUAAGUGAACCGAUAAUGAUCGAUAACCGAUAACCUUAUAAGUCAAUACAACGAUUUAACAUGUCUAUAAAGUACAAACGAUAAUCAAUAAGUCGAACACAUAAACUUUAAAUCCGAACUGAAAUGACCCAAUACACAAUCCUACCUGCAUGUUUCAAUUUAGGUGGAUAUGUAUAAGUAUAACUAAAUGAGAUAACAAUUGUCAUGUGAUUAACUUAAUACGUUUGAGAACACACAGGUUUUGCAGAAUUUGAAUAUGUAAAAUGAUAUAUAAUUACUAAUUAGCAAAAUAAAAUUCAUAAAGAAAAAUCAUGCUGUUGCAGAUAAGGAAAUGACAAUAUGCUUGAGAAUAUUCAAUCUGGAUUUAAGCAGAAUGAAAUUUAAUUAAACUUCUCUUGCUUCUAAUUAGUUCCUAUUAGUAAAAACUCAUCCACAGCCCAUAGGCAUUCAGUUUUCAUACAAAGUUGUCAUCUACAUUUCAUUUAAAUGUGAGAUCAGAAUCACAAGGUUUUCAACCUCCUUUUCUUACAAUAUAAAAUGGUUGAUAAACUUGUAAAAGUUAAAACAAAGAACUAUGCUAUCUUUACAUCCCAAAGCUAACAGGCUAAUACAUCUAUCUUACUAGAAGUUAGUGGUCAAAAGUCAUCAAAUAUUUGCAGCCUUGGAGGCGAUCCUGUCACUUCAAAGAAGGAUGAGACCUUCCAUUAUCAGCACCGGUGGCACCAUUUUCCCCACCACCUCCAUAUCCUCCGUUGCACCCAUCAUUCGAGCCGUUACCUCUGCUCCCAUCAUCACUACCACCACCAUAGUAGGCAGGCACAGACCUUCCAUUAUCAGCACCGGCGUUCCCAUAUGCAUUGGCACCAUUUCCGCCACCACCUCCAUAUCCUCUGUUGCCCCCAUCAUUCGAGCCGUUACCACUGUUCCCAUAACCACUACCACCACCAUAGUAGGCAGGCACAAACCUUCCAUUAGCAGCACCAGCGUUCCCAUAUGCAUAGGCACCAUUUCCGCCACCACCUCCAUAUCCUCCAUUUCCCCCAUCAUUCGAGCCGUUACCUCUGUUCCCAUAACCACUACCACCACCAUAGUAGGCAGGUAUACCAUAGGUGCUGCCUUCGUAACCAGCUGCACCAUACAUAGCUUCACCAAACCAAAAUCCAUAACCGUAUCCAGAGUAAAAUCCUGUAGGACUUACACCAUAACUUCCUGCAAACUUGCCAUACCCGCCAUAGUCACCGUAUCCUUCAUAUACACCAUAACCGCUACCCAUAUUUCCACCAUAUCCACCGCCAAAAGCCUCUAGAGAACCACCAUCGCCAUAAUAUGAUUUUGAACCACUCCCACCAUGAUGUAUCUGGCUUUCACUUGUAUGUUCAGCACAAUCUCUCUUUGACUUAGCCCUCUUAAUUUCAACCUAAAGACAACAAAUUAUUAUGUUACGUCAAAUUAAAAGAGGCAACAAUCAGUUCUGUGCUGUAUAAAUUCCUAAUUACUCACUUGUUUGCCACGAAGUUCAUGGAUAUGGCCAUUAGAUAAAACUUUUUCAACUGCUUCCUCUUUAUCAAAACUCACAAUGCCAAAACGUUGGCUCCGACCAGUUGUUUUAUCCAAAAUGAUCUGAUGCCCCACAACAUUGCCAUAAGAAGAAAAAUAUUCCUUCAACUCGCCUGAAAUUAAUCACUAGGUUAAAGAGCAAACUUUCUCAACAGGCAGAAAUAAGAAAUGAUAUCAUGUAUACUCUUUACCUUCAGUUAAAGAUAAUGGAAGACCACCAACAAAAAUUCUCUGUCUAUAAGUUACUGGUAUCUUCACGUCGACCUUAUACACAAAUAGAAUAUACUCUUUAAACAUAAACCAAGGCAAAGAGUAAUAGUAAAUAAAGGAAAAAUGACAGUAUGUGGUGCUUUCAGGAGAAAAUUCUACCUUUCUAUCAUCUAUGAUAUGGUUUUCCUUUAAAACUUUAUCUGCAAUUUCCGUGUCAGCAUAUGUAACAAAUCCAAAUCCUAGUGGCAUUCCAGAGAUUUUCUGAUACAUCACUACAGAGUCAGCUACCUCUCCAAAUCGACUGAAAUACUCCCUAAGUGAUUCUGGAAAGUUAAAGAAAAAAGUUACUAAAUGAGGUUAGAGCAAAGAUAGUCAGAUAUCAUGAAAACAGGAAUGCAGAUAAAGUAGAUGUACUGAUCUCAAAAAUAGAUGUGAAACAUAGUUUACUUGGGCAAACUAUUUUGAGGUUUGUCACUGUUAAAAAUUAAACAUUUUCUAUUACAUGAAAAAAGCAUUUGAAGAAACUAAAUUUACUAUUGAAGGAGAAGAUUAACUCAAUUACUCAAUCAAAUAUUAACAAUUACAUGAAUCUUUAAAAUGCCUCCUCAUUAUCAUGUUAGGAACACAUACUGCAAAGGUUGCCUCUCUUUACUGUUUGAUGUUCGAAGAAAGCCAAACCUCAAAAUCCCACACCCCAUUCAAGUAUUAACUAUUACAUGAAUCUUUAAAAUGCUUCAUUUUCAUGUUAGGAACACAUACUGCAAAGGUUGCCUCUCCUUACUAUUUGAUGUUCAAAGAAAGCCAAAACCCAACUUCCCACACCCCAAUCAAGUAUUAACUAUUACAUGAAUCUUUAAAAUGAGCCAUAUCCGCAUGGCCAGGUGACAAAUGACUACUUACAACACAUUAGUGAUAUAUCAUCAAGCAUGCUUUAACCAGCCAACACACUAUUUUUAAGCUCCAAGAAUAUGCGUAAGGCAAUUGAUAAGAAUACAACACACUAAGAUGCAAUAGAAGCCUAAUGUUAAUAUAGAAGAUUUUCAGCAACCAAUUUUAGAAUAAUUUAACUACAUAACCAAAACUCCAAUAUUCAUGUCCAAGUCAAGACCAUUGUAAUCUCACUUUUAAAGCUUAUUCAUUGCAAAGAAAGACAAG